UACGUAGGGUGCGAGCGUUAAUCGGAAUUACUGGGCGUAAAGCGAGCGCAGACGGUUGAUUAAGCCAGAUGUGAAAUCCCCGAGCUUAACUUGGGACGUGCAUUUGGAACUGGUCAGCUAGAGUGUGUCAGAGGGAGGUAGAAUUCCACGUGUAGCAGUGAAAUGCGUAGAGAUGUGGAGGAAUACCGAUGGCGAAGGCAGCCUCCUGGGAUAACACUGACGUUCAUGCUCGAAAGCGUGGGUAGCAAAC
Molecule: ribosomal RNA, 250 nt
Filed under: uncultured prokaryote
Description: partial 16S ribosomal RNA
Rfam family: Bacterial small subunit ribosomal RNA
Source: RNAcentral